Long non-coding RNA from Mauremys mutica (yellowpond turtle), 3422 nucleotides. RefSeq lists it as uncharacterized. The record is from RefSeq and is a predicted model, not a curated record. The transcript is spliced from 3 exons. Lineage: Eukaryota; Metazoa; Chordata; Testudines; Geoemydidae.
UUAGAGAAGCUCUAUAGCUGUUGCAGCUUGGAGGAACCCACAGGAGAUGAAUUAGGCCUUUGUGGGGACAAUCUCCAAAUGAGGACUUAGAGUUUGACAGUCAAAGUCCCAAGAAAGCGAUCAGAGUCCUGGGAAAGGGAGACAGCGAGGAGAUCCUGUCAGUAAAUUCCAGGUAGGAAGAGUGUGCUGACAAAGAGAUAGCAUGGAGAGACCAAGUAAUUAAGAGGUUAGCUUUCCAAGGAGGAGUAGCAGAACAAGCAAGUGAACCCCCCUGUGGAGGGGGGAAAAGCAGCCAAGUCUGAGAGGGACUGCUGAAGAUCUACUGACAAGAGGAGAUGAGAAGAAGAAGAAGAUUCCUGUGAGGAGGGUCACCAGCUCUGAGACUUGGAACAGAAGAAAUACUAGGACAAAAAUGUCAAAGAGUUACCCAAUUGCAUGUGAGAAGAGGGUGUUAGAUUUUAAACUGAAAGUGGCUGGCAACCUGCCAAGGACAAUUUUCUGCAAUUUUUAGCAGUGGAACCAUUCUCAUGGCAAUGCAGAGAGAUUUGAGAAUGGAAACAGCAGCCCUCGCCUGUGAAAUUCACCUUCCUCAUUAUGUGGAAAAGACUUAAAAGUUUGAGGGGAAAAUGAUGCUCUCUGUUAUCAUUGCUAAAAAUAUGAUGUAUCACCAGCAGUGGGAAUUGUUUUCAAAUGGCAGUGUAUAGAUUUGGGAGCAGAGUCUCAGCCAAUGAAAAUUGUCAUAGCUCCAUUGAGUUCAACAGUGCUAAGACAAUGUAUAGCAGCUGAGGCUCUGCCUCUUUGGGCCCAGCUAAGCUCCCCUAGUUAUAUUUAUUCAAAUACCAACAGUCUGAUUUAUUGUUGAAAGCACUUUGUUGUGGGGCAGGAGGUUAGUGACAUAUAACACAAGGGGAGGUUACACAACAUUUUAGAUUUCAGAAAUGUUAAUAUCUUCUGCAUAUUUUCAUCACCUAAAAGGAAUUGGGAUGAUAAAUAGUAUUUUAACAUUACAAAUUCACUGCAAAGCACAAUCUCUGGAAAAUAACUUAUGGUAGCUCUUUCAGAAUUCACUAUUUUAUUUUAUUUUUUAUUGAGGAUUGUCUCCCUGCAGCUGUGGUAUGAGCCAUUUGUCAUUUGUUAUCUUAGACACUGUGCCUGCUAUCCAGGCUCUAGAAAUGUAUUUCAUCACAGAGCUGUCCAGCUAAAUGGAUGGUGUUUGUGUGUGCUAAAUUUAUGGUUCAAUUACAAUCAAUCUUAUACUAUCAGCUCCCAGUGCAUGUAUACAAUUAAUACAAACAAAAUGAAGACCCAUCACGUCUGUGUCAUGCUGCUAAAAAGUGAACAAAGUUAAGUCAAUUCCCUCUUUAUCGGUAAUGGGACUGAGCAUAUGAUUUUAGAGUGUGAUGCUAUUUUCACCUGAGCUGAUGUAAUACAGAAGGGUACCAUUUUCUCUAGUAAAUUAGUAAUUUAUUCCAGUUUUGUAGGUUUAUGGCUGUAAUCCAUAUAAAACCUUGCACACAGCAAAGAUUUAGAAGUGUAGUUAUUGGGAGGUUGGUAUUUUUCAUCCCAGAGCAAGCUCAUGAACCUCAUUUGGGGUAAGGUUAUUCAAAGCCUGCAGAGAUGUGCUUGUCAUAACGGUACAAUUAAAUUAUCAGAAUACAGUAACAUCCAGCUGAACAGCACAUCCUUUGCCUGUCCUAUGAGAACAUCUAAGUCAGGGAAAAUGAGAUCACCUUUGGUGUGACGAGUGGGACACAUCAGAUCCAGGUUUUAUUGAUAGAGGCUUGAGGAUACAACUGUAACUUAAAAAUCAGAAAACAAAUAUUUUGCAAUUAUUUACUUUUCCACAGAAAAUAUGCCUCAAAAUGGGCCAGUGAGUUUGUUGAGCUUCCUUGGUGUAUAAUAAAUUACCUUCUCCUUGACGUGAAUGACGUGUUAAAAAUGAACAGAACCUAAUUCUGCAAUGUGAUGUGUUGCAUCCAGGCUUGUAUCAUGCACAUUAUAAAUCUGUGGAUUAGAUCCAAUUAUAUUUUACAGGCCGUUCCACGAAGGUUAGGAUUAAAGAACCUUGACAAAGUAUUCAACCUGAAGACUGCAAUUAACCAUGCAGAGUCCAGACCAAUUACACUGCUGUUUAAAACAAACAAAAAACAAACAAAUAAAAAACAAAAACCAGAUUUGUCAUGGAGAGAAUUUAUGGCUAUAAAUUAAUCCUGGCCACAUAUUUAGCCGCUUAGAAGAAAUCUCAAUAUGUGCCUGUAGAAUUAUAAUAAUACCCUCUUAUAGAACCUUUAUGUAUUUUCAUUCUCUGGUCCUGCAAAUAUCUGAGCUGUAAAGAAAAGCUUUCCUCCCUCCCGCUUACAACAAUGGUGAGUCAGUAUAGCUUGGCAAUGUUCCACAUUAUUUGAUAAUAGAUGUCACCUUGAUACUUCACCAAAAGCUCAUCUGCAAAUGUGUUUGUCCUGAACUAUAGUGCUCACAUCAGUUUUAGGCCCUAGUUAUAAUUACAUUGAUAAACCUUUUAUCAAUCAGCAAAUUGAUUCUGCAUAAUGCUUUAAUGCAGCUCUCAAUGACAUGUUACCAUGCUCCACUAAUAUACGGACACUCGUAGUAGCAGAUGAGGUCCCAGAAGAUGCAGUGCAACAUAUUACACAAGCACUGGAAUACAUCAAUUUAAUUAAAUUCUUCCUCUUUGAGCUGAGGACUAAGAGCCUUGUUCUGAUGAGCUUUUACAGUCGUGUCUUCUCAGGUCAGACUAGAUGAUCAUAAUGGUCCCUUCUAAUCUUAAAAUAUAAAUUCAUCUAGUUUUCCUCCGAUCUCUCUGGCCAUCCCUUUAAUUCCUCCUCUCCUUUCUCACUGUCAUGGGCAUCCCACAGGGCUCUGAUGUGGCUCCCUCCUCUUCUUACUUUACUCCCUUUCCUCAAAUACUUUCACGUCGUCAGUUACUGUUGAGGAUUCACAAAUCUACCUGUCCCUUCCUCAUCUGUCUCUUCAUUCAAUCCCAGCCAGUCUCUCUCACGUCUCUUCUUAUGUGUCUCCCCGUCAGCUCCAGCUUUCCACAGCAAAACUGAACUCCUUACCUGUGUUCUCCACUCUGCCAUUGUGUCACUCCUGUCACCAUCACCAUUCUCCUUAUCACUCAGAAUCAGAAUGGGGAUUGACCCUGGCCCCACAAAACCAGGCCAUAUUUACGGAUUGUUCUUUCUACCUCCAAAACAUUUCCAAAAUUCAGCCUCUCUUCUCUGUCCUUACAGCUAAACUCUUAUCUAUGACCAUAUAAUCACCCCUCCUCCCUGCCUUCCCCGGCACCCAGGUUGCCCUCCUCCAGGCCAGGCAAACAUUAUGCAUAGAAAUGUACAACUGAUUGUCUUGGAGAAAUAUAAACUACAUUUUUUAAAUGCUAACAAACAUUAAUCCGAGGUAAU